This 483-nucleotide ribosomal RNA is filed under the name uncultured Campylobacterota bacterium. RNAcentral's name for it is "bacterial LSU rRNA". It matches the Rfam family "Bacterial large subunit ribosomal RNA", at positions 1128 to 1605 of the family's 2925-position model. The record is from RNAcentral. Lineage: Bacteria; Pseudomonadati; Campylobacterota.
GAAAGCGUAACAGCUCACUAGUCUAGCGAUUCUGCGCCGAAAAUAUAACGGGGCUAAAAUAGACACCGAAGUCGUAGAUUCACACUGGUGUGUGAGUGGUAGGAGAGCGUUCUAAACAGCGUUGAAGGUAUACCGGUAAGGAGUGCUGGAGCGUUUAGAAGUGAGCAUGCAGGCAUGAGUAGCGAUAAAAGAGGUGAGAAUCCUCUUCGCCGUAAACCCAAGGUUUCCUACACUAUGCUCGUCAUUGUAGGGUUAGUCGGGUCCUAAGACGAGUCCGAAAGGGGUAGUCGAUGGCAAAUCGGUUAAUAUUCCGAUACUAACGAUAGUAUGCGAUGGGGGGACGCUUAGGGCUACGCGAGCUGGCUGAUGGAAUAGCCAGUCGAAGGAUGUAGGUUGACUUUCAGGCAAAUCCGAAAGUUGUAUCCGAGAUCUUACAGGCGCACAAAGUUCUUCGGAACCGCGUGCGAAUCGCCGAUGCCGUCG